AAGAUGGCGACCGGCGCACGGGUGAGUAACACGUAUCCAACCUGCCGAUAACUCUGGAAUAGCCUUUCGAAAGAAAGAUUAAUACCCGAUGGCAUAGUUCUUCCGCAUGGUAGAACUAUUAAAGAAUUUCGGUCAUCGAUGGGGAUGCGUUCCAUUAGGUUGUUGGCGGGGUAACGGCCCACCAAGCCUUCGAUGGAUAGGGGUUCUGAGAGGAAGGUCCCCCACAUUGGAACUGAGACACGGUCCAAACUCCUACGGGAGGCAGCAUG
RNAcentral lists this ribosomal RNA (269 nucleotides) under uncultured bacterium. RNAcentral's name for it is "partial 16S ribosomal RNA". It matches the Rfam family "Bacterial small subunit ribosomal RNA", at positions 85 to 353 of the family's 1533-position model. The record is from RNAcentral.